GUUUACGGCCAUGCUACCCUGUACAAGCCCGAUCCUGUCUGAUCUCAGAAGCUAAGCAGAGUCGGGCCUGGUUAGUAGUUGGAUGGGAGACCACCUAGAAAGAGUAAGUGCUGUAUGCG
This 119-nucleotide ribosomal RNA is filed under the name Pteropus alecto (black flying fox). Lineage: Eukaryota; Metazoa; Chordata; Mammalia; Chiroptera; Pteropodidae. The record is from RNAcentral.